Molecule: ribosomal RNA, 278 nt
Filed under: uncultured Lactobacillus sp.
Lineage: Bacteria; Bacillati; Bacillota; Bacilli; Lactobacillales; Lactobacillaceae
Description: partial 16S ribosomal RNA
Rfam family: Bacterial small subunit ribosomal RNA
Source: RNAcentral
ACUGAUUUGACGAUGGAUUACCAGUGAGCGGCGGACGGGUGAGUAACACGUGGGCAACCUGCCCUAAAGCGGGGGAUAACAUUUGGAAACAGGUGCUAAUACCGCAUAACUACGAAAACCACAUGGUUUUCGUAUAAAAGAUGGUUUCGGCUAUCACUUUAGGAUGGGCCCGCGGUGCAUUAGCUAGUUGGUAGGGUAACGGCUUACCAAGGCAAUGAUGCAUAGCCGAGUUGAGAGACUGAUCGGCCACAAUGGAACUGAGACACGGUCCAUACUCC